This 2120-nucleotide ribosomal RNA is filed under the name Haematomyzus elephantis (elephant louse). RNAcentral's name for it is "SSU rRNA". It matches the Rfam family "Eukaryotic small subunit ribosomal RNA". Lineage: Eukaryota; Metazoa; Arthropoda; Insecta; Psocodea; Haematomyzidae. The record is from RNAcentral.
AAAGAUUAAGCCAUGCAUGUCUCAGUUCAAGCUAAAUUAAAGUGAAACCGCGAAAGGCUCAUUAAAUCAGCUACUGUUUCUUUGAUGGUACGAUCCAAUUUACUUGGAUAACUGUGGCAAUUCUAGAGCUAAUACAUGCAAACCGAGUUUCGGUCGCGCGAGUUCCGCGAGGGGUUCGUUAGCGAUUCGAAAUGCUUUUAUUAGAUCAAAACCAAUCGGACUCCGGUCCGUGAAGUCUUGGUGACUCUGAAUAACCUUAAACUGAUCGCAUGGUCACGCACCGGCGACGCAUCUUUCAAAUGUCUGACUUAUCAACUUUCGAUGGUAGGCUAUGCGCCUACCAUGGUGAUUACGGGUGACGGGGAAUCAGGGUUCGAUUCCGGAGAGGGAGCCCGAGAAACAGCUACCACAUCCAAGGAAGGCAGCAGGCGCGCAAAUUACCCACUCCCGGCACGGGGAGGUAGUGACGAAAAAUAACGAUGCAGGACUCUUUUUGAGGCUCUGCAAUCGGAAUGAGUACACUCUAAACACUUUAACAAGUAUCCAUUGGAGGGCAAGUCUGGUGCCAGCAGCCGCGGUAAUUCCAGCUCCAAUAGCGUAUAUUAAAGUUGUUGCGGCUAAAAAGCUCGUAGUUGGAUUUGCGUUUCGCGCAGUCGGUUCGCCGCUCGUCGGCGCUUUUAACUGACUCGUCGCGAAAUGUCCUGCCGGUUGGCGGAGCGGGGGCGGUGGCUCCGGCCAUCGCCUGAGUAACUUCGACGGAGGAGUGAACGGGUUCAAAGGGAGAAACGGGGCGUUUCUAGGCAUCGGCGGGGGGAAAACUCCGGUUUUCUCUUACCGCUAGUUGUCGGAGCGUCCUUUUCUUUUCUUUCCGUUUCAAUUAAAUUCCUUCGUUCUGCGUCCGUCAGUUUAUUUGAUUUGACAAAUCCCGUCGCGGUGCUCUUAACCGAGUGACGCGGCGGGCCGGCACGUUUACUUUGAACAAAACUGAGUGCUUAAAGCAGGCCAGUCGGCCGCCCGAAAGUCUCGUGCAUGGAAUAAUGGAAUAGGGCCACGGUUCUAUUUUGUUGGUUUUUUGGAAUUUCCGAGGCAAUGAUUAAUGGGGACAGGCGGGGGCAUUGGUAUUGCGACGUUAGAGGUGAAAUUCUUGGAUCGUCGCAAGACUAUCUAAAGCGAAAGCAUUUGCCAAGGAUGCUUCUGUUAAUCAAGAACGAAAGUUAGAGGUUCGAAGGCGAUCAGAUACCGCCCUAGUUCUAACCGUAAACCAUGCCAGCCAGCGAUCCGUCGAUGUUCGUUCAGAUGAUUCGACGGGCAGCUUCCGGGAAACCAAAGCUUUUGGGUUCCGGGGGAAGUAUGGUUGCAAAGCUGAAACUUAAAGGAAUUGACGGAAGGGCACCACCAGGAGUGGAGCUUGCGGCUUAAUUUGACUCAACACGGGAAACCUCACCAGGCCCGGACACCGGAAGGAUUGACAGAUCAAGAGCUCUUUCUUGAUUCGGUGGGUGGUGGUGCAUGGCCGUUCUUAGUUGGUGGAGCGAUUUGUCUGGUUAAUUCCGAUAACGAACGAGACUCUAGCCGGUUAACUAGGCGAAAUUCGCCCUAAAAAAGCGAAUAUUUUUCCGGCAUGAUUCCGAUCGCCUGUGGUUUUCAUUUCCCUUUUCGCGGCUUUCGUUCUGCGGGAGUUCGCGGGAGGGAAAGGGCCACGGAUCGAAAACACUGUCGGCGUAAAUAAAAUUUCUUCUUAGAGGGACAAGCGGCUUCUAGCCGCACGAGAUUGAGCAAUAACAGGUCUGUGAUGCCCUUAGAUGUUCUGGGCCGCACGCGUGCUACACUGAAGGAGUAAAUGGGUACUGGACGUCCUGGGUCGAUAGAUCCGGGUAACCCGUUCAAUCUCCUUCGUGCUAGGGAUCGGGACUUGCAAUUGUUUCCCGUGAACUAGGAAUUCCCAGUAAGCGCGAGUCAUAAGCUCGCGUUGAUUACGUCCCUGCCCUUUGUACACACCGCCCGUCGCUACUACCGAUCGAACGAUUUAGUGAGGUCUUCGGAUUCGUACGCGAGCGCGUCGUCCUUCGCGGCGACUGCUCGCAGCUGCGGAAAAGACGACCGAACUUGAUCGUUUAGAG